GUGUCAGCAGCCGCGGUAAUACGUAGGUGGCAAGCGUUAUCCGGAAUUACUGGGCGUAAAGCGCACGCAGGUGGUUUGCUAAGAUUGACGUGAAAGCGCCUGGCUUAACUGGGCGAGGUCGUUGAUGACUGGCAGACUUGAGGCGAGGAGAGGGGUGUAGAAUUCCCGGUGUAGUGGUGGAAUGCGUAGAUAUCGGGAGGAAUACCAGUGGCGAAAGCGGCACCCUGGCCUUGGCCUGACGCUCAGGUGCGAAAGCGUGGGGAGCGAACGGGAUUAGAAACCCUCGUAGUCC
This 292-nucleotide ribosomal RNA is filed under the name uncultured bacterium. RNAcentral describes it as "partial 16S ribosomal RNA". It matches the Rfam family "Bacterial small subunit ribosomal RNA", at positions 505 to 796 of the family's 1533-position model. The record is from RNAcentral.